GACUACCCGCUGAACUUAAGCAUAUCAAUAAGCGGAGGAAAAGAAACUAACAAGGAUUCCCCUAGUAACGGCGAGUGAAGUGGGAAAAGCUCAACUUUGAAAUCUGGCACCUUCGGUGUCCGAAUUGUAGUCUCAAGAAGUGUUUUCUGUGCUAGUCCAUGUAUGAGUCUGUUGGAACACAGCGUCAUAGAGGGUGACAACCCCGUUCAUGACAUGGAUACUAGUGCUCUGUGAUACACUCUCGAAGAGUCGAGUUGUUUGGGAAUGCAGCUCAAAUUGGGUGGUAAAUUCCAUCUAAAGCUAAAUAUUGGCGAGAGACCGAUAGCAAACAAGUACCGUGAGGGAAAGAUGAAAAGCACUUUGGAAAGAGAGUUAACAGUACGUGAAAUUGUUGAAAGGGAAACGAUUGAAGUCAGACGUGCGUGAUGCGGUUCAGCUCUGGUUCGCCAGGGUGUAUUCCGUAUCUUUGCAGGCCAACAUCGGUUUUGUUAGUCGGAUAAAGAUUAGUUGAAUGUGGCAUCUUCGGGUGUGUUAUAGCUUCUAAUUGAAUACGAUUGAUGAGACCGAGGAACGCAGCGC
Molecule: ribosomal RNA, 579 nt
Filed under: Cystobasidium minutum
Lineage: Eukaryota; Fungi; Basidiomycota; Cystobasidiomycetes; Cystobasidiales; Cystobasidiaceae
Description: partial large subunit ribosomal RNA
Rfam family: Eukaryotic large subunit ribosomal RNA
Source: RNAcentral